UCCCUGGUAGCUCAGCUGGUAAAGAAUCUGCCUGCGAGGCAGGAGACCCUGGUUUGAUUCCUGGGCAGGGAA
RNAcentral lists this transfer RNA (72 nucleotides) under Capra hircus (goat). It matches the Rfam family "tRNA". Rfam says of the family: Transfer RNA (tRNA) molecules are approximately 80 nucleotides in length. Their secondary structure includes four short double-helical elements and three loops (D, anti-codon, and T loops). Further hydrogen bonds mediate the characteristic L-shaped molecular structure. tRNAs have two regions of fundamental functional importance: the anti-codon, which is responsible for specific mRNA codon recognition, and the 3' end, to which the tRNAs corresponding amino acid is attached (by aminoacyl-tRNA synthetases). tRNAs cope with the degeneracy of the genetic code in two manners: having more than one tRNA (with a specific anti-codon) for a particular amino acid; and 'wobble' base-pairing, i.e. permitting non-standard base-pairing at the 3rd anti-codon position. Lineage: Eukaryota; Metazoa; Chordata; Mammalia; Artiodactyla; Bovidae. RNAcentral also lists the same sequence under 1 other name. The record is from Rfam by way of RNAcentral.